GGGUGUGACAAAGCGUGCUUGGGCGAGAGUAGUACUAGGAUGGGUGACCCCCUGGGAAGUCCUCGUGUUGCAACCC
This 76-nucleotide ribosomal RNA is filed under the name Helianthus annuus (common sunflower). Lineage: Eukaryota; Viridiplantae; Streptophyta; Magnoliopsida; Asterales; Asteraceae. The record is from RNAcentral.